This 241-nucleotide ribosomal RNA is filed under the name uncultured bacterium. Its description in RNAcentral is "partial 16S ribosomal RNA". It matches the Rfam family "Bacterial small subunit ribosomal RNA", at positions 15 to 254 of the family's 1533-position model. The record is from RNAcentral.
GAUCCUGGCUCAGGAUGAACGCUAGCGGCAGGCCCAACACAUGCAAGUCGAGGGGCAGCACGGUGUAGCAAUACACUGGUGGCGACCGGCGCACGGGUGCGUAACGCGUAUGCAACCUACCCAUAACAGGGGGAUAACACUGAGAAAUUGGUACUAAUACCCAUAACAUCAGGACCGGCAUCGGUUCNGGUUGAAAACUCCGGUGUUAUGGAUGGGCAUGCGUUGUAUUAGCUGGUUGGUG